CACACAUUACCCUGAAACCGCACAUGCGCCGGCACAUCCAGUCGGGUGCCCGUUGAGACAGACGGGUUUCUGGAUGGGGCGCAUGGAGGCUCAAC
Molecule: small RNA, 95 nt
Filed under: Thioalkalivibrio sulfidiphilus HL-EbGr7
Lineage: Bacteria; Pseudomonadati; Pseudomonadota; Gammaproteobacteria; Chromatiales; Ectothiorhodospiraceae
Description: Thioalkalivibrio sulfidophilus HL-EbGr7 t44 RNA
Rfam family: t44 RNA
About the family: This family consists of a number of bacterial RNA genes of between 135 and 170 bases in length. The t44 gene is found between the map and rpsB genes in all species in the full alignment apart from Shigella flexneri. The function of this RNA is unknown.
Source: Rfam by way of RNAcentral